GAUGAACGUUGGCGGCGUGCUUAACACAUGCAAGUCGAACGAGAAGUGAAGACGGAAACCUUCGGGCGGAAGGCUUUAUUUCGAGUGGCGGACGGGUGAGUAACGCGUGGGUAACCUGCCUCAUACAGGGGGAUAACAGUUGGAAACGACUGUUAAUACCGCAUAAGACCACAGCACCGCAUGGUGCGGGGGUAAAAACUCCGGUGGUAUGAGAUGGAUCCGCGUUCGAUUAGCCAGUUGGCGGGGUAACGGCCCACCAAAGCGACGAUCGAUAGCCGAUCUGAGAGGAUGACCGGCCACAUUGGGACUGAGACACGGCCCAAACUCCUACGGGAGGCAGCAGUGGGGAAUAUUGCACAAUGGGGGAAACCCUGAUGCAGCGACGCCGCGUGAGUGAAGAAGUAUUUCGGUAUGUAAAGCUCUAUCAGCAGGGAAGAAAAUGACGGUACCUGAGGAAGAAGCCCCGGCUAACUACGUG
Molecule: ribosomal RNA, 478 nt
Filed under: uncultured bacterium
Lineage: Bacteria
Description: partial 16S ribosomal RNA
Rfam family: Bacterial small subunit ribosomal RNA
Source: RNAcentral